GAAACCGGGGCUAAUACCGGAUCCCUUGCCCCCUUCACAUGAAAGGGGCAAGAAAGGUUGCUUUGCUUCCGCUUCGGGAUGAGCCCGCGGCCCAUUAGCUAGUUGGUGAGGUAACGGCUCACCAAAGCAACGAUGGGUAGCCGGCCUGAGAGGGUGUCCGGUCACACUGGGACUGAGAUACGGCCCAGACUCCUACGGGAGGCAGCAGUGAGGAAUAUUGCGCAAUGGGCGAAAGCCUGACGCAGCGACGCCGCGUGGACGAUGAAGGCCUUCGGGUUGUAAAGUCCUGUCAGGAGGGACGAAGCGGUACUUGUACCGUGACGGUACCUCGGUAGGAAGCUCCGGCUAACUACGUGCCAGCAGCCGCGGUAAGACGUAGGGGGCUAGCGUUGUCCGGAAUUACUGGGCGUAAAGAGCUCGUAGGCGGUCUGUUUAGUCGGAUGUGAAAGCCCUCGGCUCAACCGAGGAAUUGCAUUCGAUACUGGCAGGCUAGAGUCUAGCAGAGGGAAGUGGAAUUCCCGGUGUAGCGGUGAAAUGCGCA
RNAcentral lists this ribosomal RNA (541 nucleotides) under uncultured bacterium. RNAcentral describes it as "bacterial SSU rRNA". It matches the Rfam family "Bacterial small subunit ribosomal RNA", at positions 153 to 692 of the family's 1533-position model. The record is from RNAcentral.